ACUCCUACGGGAGGCAGCAGUAGGGAAUCUUCCACAAUGGGCGCAAGCCUGAUGGAGCAACACCGCGUGAGUGAAGAAGGGUUUCGGCUCGUAAAGCUCUGUUGUUAAAGAAGAACACGUAUGAGAGUAACUGUUCAUACGUUGACGGUAUUUAACCAGAAAGUCACGGCUAACUACGUGCCAGCAGCCGCGGUAAUACGUAGGUGGCAAGCGUUAUCCGGAUUUAUUGGGCGUAAAGAGAGUGCAGGCGGUUUUUCUAAGUCUGAUGUGAAAGCCUUCGGCUUAACCGGAGAAGUGCAUCGGAAACUGGAUAACUUGAGUGCAGAAGAGGUAGUGGAACUCCAUGUGUAGCGGUGGAAUGCGUAGAUAUAUGGAAGAACACCAGUGGCGAAGGCGGCUACCUGGUCUGCAACUGACGCUGAGACUCGAAAGCAUGGGUAGCGAACAGGAUUAGAUACCCC
RNAcentral lists this ribosomal RNA (461 nucleotides) under uncultured bacterium. Its description in RNAcentral is "bacterial SSU rRNA". It matches the Rfam family "Bacterial small subunit ribosomal RNA", at positions 335 to 788 of the family's 1533-position model. The record is from RNAcentral.